GACGAACGCUGGCGGCGUGCCUAAUACAUGCAAGUCGAGCGCAGGAAAUCGACGGAACCCUUCGGGGGGAAGUCGACGGAAUGAGCGGCGGACGGGUGAGUAACACGUAAAGAACCUGCCCUCAGGUCUGGGAUAACCACGAGAAAUCGGAGCUAAUACCGGAUGGGUCAUCGGACCGCAUGGUCCGAGGAUGAAAGGCGCUUCGGCGUCGCCUGGGGAUGGCUUUGCGGUGCAUUAGCUAGUUGGUGGGGUAAUGGCCCACCAAGGCGACGAGGCAUAGCCGACCUGAGAGGGUGAACGGCCACACUGGGACUGAGACACGGCCCAGACUCCUACGGGAGGCAGCAGUAGGGAAUCUUCCACAAUGGACGAAAGUCUGAUGGAGCAACGCCGCGUGAACGAUGAAGGCCUUCGGGUCGUAAAGUUCUGUUGUAAGGGAAGAACAAGUGCCGCAGGCAAUGGCGGCACCUUGACGGUACCUUGCGAGAAAGCCACGGCUAACUACGUGCCAGCCGCCGCCGUAA
This 524-nucleotide ribosomal RNA is filed under the name uncultured bacterium. RNAcentral's name for it is "partial 16S ribosomal RNA". It matches the Rfam family "Bacterial small subunit ribosomal RNA", at positions 28 to 523 of the family's 1533-position model. The record is from RNAcentral.